RNAcentral lists this ribosomal RNA (301 nucleotides) under uncultured bacterium. RNAcentral's name for it is "partial 16S ribosomal RNA". It matches the Rfam family "Bacterial small subunit ribosomal RNA", at positions 509 to 807 of the family's 1533-position model. The record is from RNAcentral.
CAGCAGCCACGGUAACACGGAGGGCGCGAGCGUUACUCGGAAUUACUGGGCGUAAAGCGUGCGUAGGUGGUUGUUUAAGUCCGUUGUGAAAGCCCUGGGCUCAACCUGGGAAUUGCAGUGGAUACUGGGCAACUAGAGUGUGGUAGAGGAUAGUGGAAUUUCCGGUGUAGCAGUGAAAUGCGUAGAGAUCGGAAGGAACAUCUGUGGCGAAGGCGACUAUCUGGGCCAACACUGACACUGAGGCACGAAAGCGUGGGGAGCAAACAGGAUUAGAUACCCGUGUAGUCCCUGUCUCUUAUAC